This 169-nucleotide ribosomal RNA is filed under the name Acetatifactor sp. RNAcentral describes it as "partial 23S ribosomal RNA". It matches the Rfam family "Bacterial large subunit ribosomal RNA", at positions 2759 to 2925 of the family's 2925-position model. Lineage: Bacteria; Bacillati; Bacillota; Clostridia; Lachnospirales; Lachnospiraceae. The record is from RNAcentral.
AAGGGAUAAACGCUGAAGGCAUCUAAGCGUGAAGCCCCCCUCAAGAUGAGAUAUCUGUAGUUAGCAAUAACUGCAAGGCCCCUUAGAGAGUAUGAGGUAGAUAGGAAUGAGGUGUAAGCACAGCAAUGUGUUCAGCUGACAUUUACUAAUCGGCCGAAAGUUUAACCAA